GACGAACGUUGGCGGCGUGCUUAACACAUGCAAGUCGAACGGAAAGGCCCUGCUUUUGUGGGGUGCUCGAGUGGCGAACGGGUGAGUAACACGUGAGUAACCUGCCCUUGACUUUGGGAUAACUUCAGGGAACUGGGGCUAAUACCGGAUAGGAGCUCCUGCUGCAUGGUGGGGGUUGGAAAGUUUCGGCGGUUGGGGAUGGACUCGCGGCUUAUCAGCUUGUUGGUGGGGUAGUGGCUUACCAAGGCUUUGACGGGUAGCCGGCCUGAGAGGGUGACCGGCCACAUUGGGACUGAGAUACGGCCCAGACUCCUACGGGAGGCAGCAGUGGGGAAUAUUGCACAAUGGGCGGAAGCCUGAUGCAGCAACGCCGCGUGCGGGAUGACGGCCUUCGGGUUGUAAACCGCUUUCGCCUGUGACGAAGCGUGAGUGACGGUAAUGGGUAAAGAAGCACCGGCUAACUACGUGCCAGCAGCCGCGGUGAUACGUAGGGUGCGAGCGUUGUCCGGAUUUAUUGGGCGUAAAGGGCUCGUAGGUGGUUGAUCGCGUCGGAAGUGUAAUCUUGGGGCUUAACCCUGAGCGUGCUUUCGAUACGGGUUGACUUGAGGAAGGUAGGGGAGAAUGGAAUUCCUGGUGGAGCGGUGGAAUGCGCAGAUAUCAGGAGGAACACCAGUGGCGAAGGCGGUUCUCUGGGCCUUUCCUGACGCUGAGGAGCGAAAGCGUGGGGAGCGAACAGGCUUAGAUACCCUGGUAGUCCACGCUGUAAACGGUGGGUACUAGGUGUGGGGUCCAUUCCACGGGUUCCGUGCCGUAGCUAACGCUUUAAGUACCCCGCCUGGGGAGUACGGCCGCAAGGCUAAAACUCAAAGGAAUUGACGGGGCCCCGCACAAGCGGCGGAGCAUGCGGAUUAAUUCGAUGCAACGCGUAGAACCUUACCUGGGUUUGACAUGGAUCGGGAGUGCUCAGAGAUGGGUGUGCCUCUUUCGGGGUCGGUUCACAGGUGGUGCAUGCCUGUCGUCAGCUCGUGUCGUGAGAUGUUGGGUUAAGUCCCGCAACGAGCGCAGCCCUUGUUCACUGUUGCCAGCACGUUAUGGUGGGGACUCAGUGGAGACCGCCGGGGUCAACUCGGAGGAAGGUGGGGAUGACGUCAAGUCCUCAUGCCCCUUAUGUCCAGGGCUUCACGCAUGCUACAAUGGCUGGUACAGAGAGUGGCGAGCCUGUGAGGGUGAGCGAAUCUCGGAAAGCCGGUCUCAGUUCGGAUUGGGGUCUGCAACUCGACCUCAUGAAGUCGGAGUCGCUAGUAAUCGCAGAUCAGCAACGCUGCGGUGAAUACGUUCCCGGGGCU
RNAcentral lists this ribosomal RNA (1346 nucleotides) under uncultured bacterium. RNAcentral's name for it is "bacterial SSU rRNA". It matches the Rfam family "Bacterial small subunit ribosomal RNA", at positions 28 to 1381 of the family's 1533-position model. The record is from RNAcentral.